RNAcentral lists this transfer RNA (80 nucleotides) under Hafnia phage vB_HpaM_Zyzzx. RNAcentral describes it as "tRNA-Pro". It matches the Rfam family "tRNA". Rfam says of the family: Transfer RNA (tRNA) molecules are approximately 80 nucleotides in length. Lineage: Duplodnaviria; Heunggongvirae; Uroviricota; Caudoviricetes; Andersonviridae. The record is from RNAcentral.
UCGGUGUUUAGCUCAGUUUGGUCAGAGUACGUCGUUUGGGACGAUGGGGUCAAAGGUUCGAAUCCUUUAACACCGACCAA